RNAcentral lists this ribosomal RNA (463 nucleotides) under uncultured bacterium. Its description in RNAcentral is "partial 16S ribosomal RNA". It matches the Rfam family "Bacterial small subunit ribosomal RNA", at positions 355 to 834 of the family's 1533-position model. The record is from RNAcentral.
UGGGGAAUAUUGGACAAUGGGCGCAAGCCUGAUCCAGCCAUGCCGCGUGAGUGAUGAAGGCCUUAGGGUUGUAAAGCUCUUUCGCCGGUGAAGAUAAUGACGGUAACCGGAGAAGAAGCCCCGGCUAACUUCGUGCCAGCAGCCGCGGUAAUACGAAGGGGGCUAGCGUUGCUCGGAAUCACUGGGCGUAAAGCGCACGUAGGCGGAUCGUUAAGUCAGGGGUGAAAUCCUGGAGCUCAACUCCAGAACUGCCCUUGAUACUGGCGAUCUCGAGUUCGAGAGAGGUUGGUGGAACUCCGAGUGUAGAGGUGAAAUUCGUAGAUAUUCGGAAGAACACCAGUGGCGAAGGCGGCCAACUGGCUCGAUACUGACGCUGAGGUGCGAAAGCGUGGGGAGCAAAACAGGAUUAGAUACCCUGGUAGUCCACGCCGUAAACGAUGGAUGCUAGCCGUUGGGGGUUUGA